AGGAAAAGAAACUAACAAGGAUUCCCCUAGUAACGGCGAGUGAAGCGGGAAGAGCUCAAAUUUGAAAUCUGGUAGCCUUCGGUUGCCCGAGUUGUAAUCUAGAGAAGUGUUUUCCGUGCCGGCCCAUGUACAAGUCCCUUGGAACAGGGCGUCAUAGAGGGUGAGAAUCCCGUCCUUGACAUGGACCCCCGGUGCUUUGUGAUACACUUUCAACGAGUCGAGUUGUUUGGGAAUGCAGCUCAAAAUGGGUGGUGAAUUCCAUCUAAAGCUAAAUAUUGGCGAGAGACCGAUAGCGAACAAGUACCGUGAGGGAAAGAUGAAAAGCACUUUGGAAAGAGAGUUAAACAGUACGUGAAAUUGUUGAAAGGGAAACGAUUGAAGUCAGUCAUGCUCUUGGGACUUACCUCCCUUGAGUGGGGUCAACAUCAGUUUUGAUCGAUGGAUAAAGGCACGGGGAAGGUAGCACUCUCGGGUGAACUUAUAGCCUCGCGUCAUAUACAUUGAUUGGGACUGAGGAACGCAGCAUGCCUUAUGGCCGGGAUUCGUCCACGUACAUGCUUAGGAU
RNAcentral lists this ribosomal RNA (565 nucleotides) under Naganishia albida. RNAcentral's name for it is "partial large subunit ribosomal RNA". It matches the Rfam family "Eukaryotic large subunit ribosomal RNA", at positions 54 to 607 of the family's 3401-position model. The record is from RNAcentral. Lineage: Eukaryota; Fungi; Basidiomycota; Tremellomycetes; Filobasidiales; Filobasidiaceae.